RNAcentral lists this unclassified non-coding RNA (253 nucleotides) under uncultured Pseudobdellovibrionaceae bacterium. RNAcentral describes it as "uncultured Bdellovibrionaceae bacterium contains 16S-23S intergenic spacer region". It matches the Rfam family "Bacterial small subunit ribosomal RNA", at positions 524 to 776 of the family's 1533-position model. The record is from RNAcentral. Lineage: Bacteria; Pseudomonadati; Bdellovibrionota; Bdellovibrionia; Bdellovibrionales; Pseudobdellovibrionaceae.
UACAGAGGCCUCGAGCGUUGUUCGGAAUUACUGGGCGUAAAGCGAAUGUAGGCGGUUGCGCAAGUCAGAUGUGAAAGCCCGGGGCUUAACCCCGGAACUGCAUUUGAAACUGCGUAGCUUGAGUACGAGAGAGGAAAGUGGAAUUCCCGGUGUAGGGGUGAAAUCCGUAGAUAUCGGGAGGAAUACCAAUGGCGAAGGCAGCUUUCUGGCUCGUAACUGACGCUGAGAUUCGAAAGCGUGGGUAGCAAACAGG